CGUCCCCGCGCUGACCCCACGUCUCCCCCCAGGACAUCCUGUGCCGCCUGGAGCACACGACGCUGCGCAAGGUGACCGCCAACACGGCCAUCUACUACGACCCCAACCCGCAGAGCACGGUGGUGGCCGAGGACCAGGAGUGGGUCAACGUCUACUACGAGAUGCCCGACUUCGACGUGAGCCGCAUCUCGCCCUGGCUGCUGCGCGUCGAGCUCGACCGCAAGCACAUGACGGACCGCAAGCUCACCAUGGAGCAGAUCGCCGAGAAGAUCAACGCCGGCUUUGGGGACGACCUGAACUGCAUCUUCAACGACGACAACGCCGAGAAGCUCGUGCUGCGGAUCCGCAUCAUGAACAGCGACGAGAACAAGAUGCAGGAGGAGGAGGAAGUUGUGGACAAGAUGGACGACGACGUCUUCCUGCGGUGCAUCGAGUCCAACAUGCUGACGGACAUGACGCUGCAGGGCAUCGAGCAGAUCAGCAAGGUGGGGGGGGGCACCCCUGGGUGCUGAGGGGUGCGAGAAGGUCCAGGACACCUGUGGUGGUGCCCAGGGAGCACCCAUGGGUGCCCAGGCUCUCGAGACAAGCCUGGGGAACACGUGGAGGUCUCCACGGGGGUGUUCUGGAGGUCCAGGCUGCUAGCGGUGGUGCCCGCAAGCACGUGUGGGUGCCCAGGAGGUGCCGGGGAGCACCCAUGGGUGCUCGUGUGGGUGCCCAGGCUCCUAAUGCACGCUUAGGGUGGCCAUGAAGGUCUCCAGGGGGGUGUUUUGAAGGUCCAGGGUGCUGAUGGUGGUGCCCAUAGGUGCUUGGGGGUGUCCAGGGAGCACCCAUGGGUGCUCUUG
This 842-nucleotide long non-coding RNA is filed under the name Dromaius novaehollandiae (emu). RNAcentral's name for it is "lncRNA (ENSDNVG00000012642.1)". Lineage: Eukaryota; Metazoa; Chordata; Aves; Casuariiformes; Dromaiidae. The record is from RNAcentral.